AGUGAACGCUGGCGGCAGGCCUAACACAUGCAAGUCGAGCGGCUGAAGGGUGCUUGCUCCCGGAUUCAGCGGCCGACGGGCGAGUGAUUCCUGGGAAUCUGCCUGGCAGUUGGGGAGAAGGUCCGGAAAUGGGCGCUAUUACCGUAUUCCUCCUGAGGGCGAAAGGGGGGGAUCAUGGGACCUUCCGCCAUUAGACGAGCCAAGGUCGGAUUAGCUAGUUGGUGGGGUAAAGGCCUACCAAGGCGACGAUCCGUAACUGGUCUGAGAGGAUGAUCAGCCACACUGGAACUGAGACACGGUCCAGACUCCUACGGGAGGCAGCAGUGGGGAAUAUUGGACAAUGGGCGAAAGCCUGAUCCAGCCAUACCGCGUGGGUGAAGAAGGUCUUCGGGUUGUAAAGCCCUUUAGUUGGGAAGGAAGGGCAGUAGGUUAAUACCCUGCUGUUUUGACGUUACCAAAAGAAUAAGCACCGGCUAACUUCGUG
This 484-nucleotide ribosomal RNA is filed under the name uncultured bacterium. RNAcentral's name for it is "partial 16S ribosomal RNA". It matches the Rfam family "Bacterial small subunit ribosomal RNA", at positions 29 to 507 of the family's 1533-position model. The record is from RNAcentral.